GAGAGCCGGAUGCGCUGAGAGGUGCAAGUCCGGUUGUGCGUCCAGCUAAGGCUGGC
RNAcentral lists this unclassified non-coding RNA (56 nucleotides) under Burkholderia sp. OK233. The record is from RNAcentral. Lineage: Bacteria; Pseudomonadati; Pseudomonadota; Betaproteobacteria; Burkholderiales; Burkholderiaceae.